AUUGAACGCUGGCGGCAUGCCUUACACAUGCAAGUCGAACGGCAGCGGGCCUUCGGGUGCCGGCGAGUGGCGAACGGGUGAGUAAUGCAUCGGAACGUGCCAUUGAGUGGGGGAUAACGUAGCGAAAGUUACGCUAAUACCGCAUAUUCUGUGAGCAGGAAAGCAGGGGACCGCAAGGCCUUGCGCUCUUUGAGCGGCCGAUGUCAGAUUAGCUAGUUGGUGGGGUAAAGGCUUACCAAGGCGACGAUCUGUAGCGGGUCUGAGAGGAUGAUCCGCCACACUGGAACUGAGACACGGUCCAGACUCCUACGGGAGGCAGCAGUGGGGAAUUUUGGACAAUGGGCGCAAGCCUGAUCCAGCCAUGCCGCGUGAGUGAAGAAGGCCUCGG
This 388-nucleotide ribosomal RNA is filed under the name uncultured bacterium. RNAcentral describes it as "bacterial SSU rRNA". It matches the Rfam family "Bacterial small subunit ribosomal RNA", at positions 30 to 420 of the family's 1533-position model. The record is from RNAcentral.